Molecule: long non-coding RNA, 342 nt
Organism: Dermacentor silvarum
Lineage: Eukaryota; Metazoa; Arthropoda; Arachnida; Ixodida; Ixodidae
Exons: 4
Source: RefSeq, a predicted model, not a curated record
UGUUUAUGCCGGAAGGACAGUUCGUGCAGUCGAUGCCGCCGGACCUGACACGAAGGAGCGUUUGCCGAGUAUGUCUCGAAAGGGAUCUCACGAUUUCGUGAGACGGAGGCAUCUCUGCACCACAUGGGAGCCUGUGGCAAAAUGCAGUCUGAGCAGCCCGACAAGGAAUCUGAUCUGCUUGCUCUGACAAGGUAUGGCUGGGCCUGCAGAGAAAGUGUAAGCAGACUGUGCUGUGUUGCUGAUCAGUGCUGAUCUCCACACCUGAGUUGGUCCCACAACAUCCAGGCACCAGCGUGCUUUGCUUCAUCAUUGACAAGGUGCGCGGCAAGCUCUCACUCAAGC